GAUGAACGCUAGCGGCAGGCAUAACACAUGCAAGUCGAGAGAGAGGUUACUUUCGGGUACCCAAAACCGGCGCACGGGUGCGUAACGCGUAUACUAUCUGCCUUUCACAUAGAGAUACCCAGAAGAAAUUUGGAUUUAUACCUAAUGGUAUAUAAGAGCGGCAUCGUUUUUAUAUUAAAGCUACGGUGGUGAAAGAUGAGUAUGCGUUCUAUUAGCUAGUUGGAGAGGUAACGUCUCCCCAAGGCGACGAUAGAUAGGGGUUCUGAGAGGGAUGUCCCCCACACUGGUACUGAGAUACGGACCAGACUCCUACGGGAGGCAGCAGUGAGGAAUAUUGGACAAUGGUCGGAAGACUGAUCCAGCCAUGCCGCGUGCAGGAUGAAGGUCCUAUGGAUUGUAAACUGCUUUUGUAAGGGAAGAAUAAGGAGUACGUGUACUUUGAUGACGGUACCUUACGAAUAAGCAUCGGCUAACUCCGUGCCAGCAGCCGCGGUAAUACGGAGGAUGCGAGCGUUAUCCGGAAUCAUUGGGUUUAAAGGGUCCGUAGGCGGGCUGAUAAGUCAGAGGUGAAAGCGCUUAGCUCAACUAAGCAACUGCCUUUGAAACUGUCAGUCUUGAAUGAUUGUGAAGUAGUUGGAAUGUGUAGUGUAGCGGUGAAAUGCUUAGAUAUUACACAGAACACCGAUAGCGAAGGCAUAUUACUAACAAUUUAUUGACGCUGAUGGACGAAAGCGUGGGGAGCGAACAGG
RNAcentral lists this ribosomal RNA (749 nucleotides) under uncultured Capnocytophaga sp. Its description in RNAcentral is "bacterial SSU rRNA". It matches the Rfam family "Bacterial small subunit ribosomal RNA", at positions 28 to 776 of the family's 1533-position model. Lineage: Bacteria; Pseudomonadati; Bacteroidota; Flavobacteriia; Flavobacteriales; Flavobacteriaceae. The record is from RNAcentral.